RNAcentral lists this unclassified non-coding RNA (405 nucleotides) under Hevea brasiliensis (rubber tree). Lineage: Eukaryota; Viridiplantae; Streptophyta; Magnoliopsida; Malpighiales; Euphorbiaceae. The record is from RNAcentral.
UCUACAUAAAUUUCCAUAGGCUGGAAGAAUCAAACAUCGUAAUUAUUUUUUUUUUUUAAAGAAAAGAACCAGCAAUCAGUAGGAUAGCAUUAGCCAAAAGCCAAUACACAUACACAUUGUAAUUUGGAUGCUCAGCAUAAAGAAACAUAAAACCUACAUUGCACUUUCACAUGUAUCCCUUUUUACAUUUUAUCUUGCCCCUUCCCCACACCCCCAAGUGCAAAGGUCUAAUUCCAAACCCAGCAUCUAACCCACAUAUCAUUUCAAAUUUUGUCUUCCCUGACAGCAGAAUGUGCAAGUCACAAGUACCAUCAACAAACAUACACGUGAAGCAAACAACAAUAAUAAACUUUUCAGAUUAUAUCAUUAAGUGCAAGAAAUCAUUACAUCUUGCAUAAAUUUCUU